Molecule: ribosomal RNA, 680 nt
Filed under: uncultured Actinomycetes bacterium
Lineage: Bacteria; Bacillati; Actinomycetota; Actinomycetes
Description: bacterial SSU rRNA
Rfam family: Bacterial small subunit ribosomal RNA
Source: RNAcentral
GCAAGUCGAGCGGAAAGGCUCCUUCGGGGGUACUCGAGCGGCGAACGGGUGAGUAACACGUGAGUAAUCUGCCCUUGGCUUCGGGAUAGCCACCGGAAACGGUGAUUAAUACCGGAUACGACACAUCACUGCAUGGUGCGUGUGUGGAAAGUUUUUUCGGCCAGGGAUGUGCUCGCGGCCUAUCAGCUUGUUGGUGGGGUAAUGGCCUACCAAGGCUUCGACGGGUAGCCGGCCUGAGAGGGUGACCGGCCACACUGGGACUGAGACACGGCCCAGACUCCUACGGGAGGCAGCAGUGGGGAAUAUUGGACAAUGGGCGGAAGCCUGAUCCAGCAACGCCGCGUGAGGGAUGACGGCCUUCGGGUUGUAAACCUCUUUCAGCACAGACGAAGCGCAAGUGACGGUAUGUGCAGAAGAAGGACCGGCCAACUACGUGCCAGCAGCCGCGGUAAUACGUAGGGUCCGAGCGUUGUCCGGAAUUAUUGGGCGUAAAGGGCUCGUAGGCGGUUUGUCGCGUCGGGAGUGAAAACACCGGGCUUAACUCGGUGCUUGCUUUCGAUACGGGCAGACUAGAGGCAUUCAGGGGAGAACGGAAUUCCUGGUGUAGCGGUGAAAUGCGCAGAUAUCAGGAGGACACCGGUGGCGAAGCGGUUCUCUGGGAAUGUCCUGACGCUGAGGAG